ACUAUUAUGUUGAGAUAUUGCAGCAGAGCAGAAAAUGUAUUCAUUAAUAAUAAUUUUGGACUCAUGGCAUACGAGGUUUUAGUGAUAAGUUCUGAGCCUCAAAUAGAAAUGCUUGACCUAAGGACAUUAAAAUGAUUUCGUUUUUUCAACAUGUUCCCUUUUUACAUCGGUACACUUUUGUCAACGAUGUUGGAGGGAUGUUAUUCCCGUUUCGCGGAAUCCUUCUCUUGACUGUCUAAAACGUUCUCCACGGCUGCUAUGACGUAAUCGUUCGAGUCGAAGUGGGUUCCGGCUAGAGCUCUCCUCAUGUUUGGGAACAGACAAAAGUCUGACGAAGCCAGGUCAGGAGAAGAAGGUGGGUGCUGAAGGACUUCAAAGCCACACUGACCAUGGUGGAUUGAAGCCAUGGCAAUGAUUGAUUUGUGUACUGCAUCAGUGUCCUCGUGGAAGAUAUUUCAGAUAUCCUUAAUUUUAAUUUAAUCCAGCAAUUGACUCAAAGUUAAAGCAUAAUAUGCUCCGUUUAUUGUCCGGCCUUUUGGAGGAUAGUCCACCGUGAGGACACCCUCAGCAGCCCAGAACACGGAGGCCAUGACCUUUCAAGCUGAUGGUGGUGCGGAUGUCAAAUGAUUCUACUGUUUGGGUUACUGUUUGGACACAAGUGGCGGACCAAGGUUUCAUCCAGUCACAAAUCGUUGCAAAAACCGUUCUGGAUGAGCUAAACAGGGCUAUAUUAUCACAAGGCUUGUUGUGCCUGGUGCGUUUUUGAUAGAUGUCAGAAACUUUGGAAUUCACGGAACUUACACCUUCAUUGCUUAAGGUUUCUAUGAUAUGCUUACUGAACUCGCUGAGUCAUUCGCCGGUCGGUCAUCACCGUAGCAUGGAUUCUCACACGUCGUGACGUUACAGGCUUUCCUAGACUGAUGACGUCCACAAGGCUCUUCCUGCCACGACUAACUCUGCUGCCCACCUCUUUACGUUGACAUAGUGAGGGGCAUCUUCAGUAGACUCAACCUCUAUAUCUCGCAAUGUCUACACCAAAAGAUGUCAUUUUACACAUUUCCUUCAAUGUGAGGCUCAGAACUUAUCAGUCAACCCUCGUAUAUGACAACAUGUACUUCUAAAUGCUAAAUAAAGCGACAAAACCUUUUCCAUAUCCAACAAAAAAUCUCUGCAUAAAGCAUGUGACAAGAGGGCUUUUAUUUAUUGGCAUGUUGUACUAUUUAAAAAUAAUUAAUUAACGUAAUUAAUUAAUGUUGACAUAUUUAACAUGACAGAUGAAGAGAACUCAUCUAAGUCCCUAUUGCAACAAGUCGUGUAGUAUUUCAAAACCUUCCUUGACGUCAUCCUGUAAAGGUCUUUGUUAUAUCUGAUGAAAACAAUUAAGAGGUCAUUCAGUAGAAUAUCAUAGGGAUAGUCGAUUAAUAUGUGUUCUGUGGAAUAUCCAUAGUUUCAAUGGUAUUUUAUAGAACCAUCAGUUUUGAAAUCUCAUUAUAAACCUAUUCAUUGGGAUCUCUAUUAAGUAAGAGAGUUCUUUCUAUAAGCAUUAAAAACAAUUGUGAGGUUUUACUAUCAAAGUAAAACCUAUUAAGAGGUUUUACUUUCAAAGUAAAACCUAUUAAGAGGUUUUAUUUUCGUUAUAACGUUAACCAUGUUAUAAAUGUUAUAACGAGUAUCUAUAAAUGAGGCGCUUCAUUAUAGCGCUUCCUUGAAGACGUGAUAUCAUAACUUGCACGUGAAAUUCGCUGACUUGCCAGGCGUUCAAGAGCACUUGGAUGUGUCAACAACAAAACACAACUAAAAUACUUACUUUUAAAUGAAAGUGAAAUCUUCGGUUUCUAAAUGUUUGUGUUGCAAUAUUCCACUUCUUUUAAACUUUUCAAAACGAACAUUCGCAAAUUUUAAAGGUGUUUUUUGCUUUACAAGAUUUUCGACUUUAAACAAUCCAACUGUUACGUGAAGGUAGUUGUGACGUAACGGCUAACAGUUACUGCACGAGCAAAUUGUGCAGCAUUGAUAAGCACUUGUUUAAAAGCACGUGUUUUGAAACCUCGCUGUCCUUUCACCAGAGACUCUGAAGUGAUGUCACUUUUAAAUGUCCACGCGGAGUUGUACACAUGACAUUCAAUUUUAAUUGAAUUAAAAUUUUGAAUUGCUA
Long non-coding RNA from Haliotis rufescens (red abalone), 2155 nucleotides. RefSeq lists it as uncharacterized. The transcript has 2 exons. The record is from RefSeq and is a predicted model, not a curated record. NCBI's taxonomy places the organism in Eukaryota, Metazoa, Mollusca, Gastropoda, Lepetellida, Haliotidae.